This 421-nucleotide ribosomal RNA is filed under the name uncultured bacterium. RNAcentral's name for it is "bacterial SSU rRNA". It matches the Rfam family "Bacterial small subunit ribosomal RNA", at positions 358 to 771 of the family's 1533-position model. The record is from RNAcentral.
GGAAUAUUGGACAAUGGGCGAAAGCCUGAUCCAGCAAUGCCGCGUGUGUGAAGAAGGCCUGCGGGUUGUAAAGCACUUUCAGCAGGGCAGAAAAGCUUCGGGCUAAUCUCCCGGAGUCUUGACGUAACCUGAAGAAGAAGCACCGGCUAACUCCGUUCCAGCAGCCGCGGUAAUACGGAGGGUGCGAGCGUUAAUCGGAAUUACUGGGCGUAAAGCGCGCGUAGGCGGCUUGUUAAGUCGGAUGUGAAAGCCCUGGGCUUAACCUGGGAAUUGCAUUCGAUACUGGCAGGCUGGAGUGUGGUAGAGGGUAGUGGAAUUCCCGGUGUAGCGGUGAAAUGCGUAGAUAUCGGGAGGAACAUCAGUGGCGAAGGCGGCUACCUGGACCAGCACUGACGCUGAGGUGCGAAAGCGUGGGGAGCAA